AUUGAACGCUGGCGGCAGGCCUAACACAUGCCAGUCGAGCGGAUGAAGGGAGCUUGAUCCUGGAUUCAGCGGCGGACGGGUGAGUAAUGCCUAGGAAUCUGCCUGGUAGUGGGGGAUAACGUCCGGAAACGGGCGCUAAUACCGCAUACGUCCUGAGGGAGAAAGUGGGGGAUCUUCGGACCUCACGCUAUCAGAUGAGCCUAGGUCGGAUUAGCUAGUUGGUGGGGUAAAGGCCUACCAAGGCGACGAUCCGUAACUGGUCUGAGAGGAUGAUCAGUCACACUGGAACUGAGACACGGUCCAGACUCCUACGGGAGGCAGCAGUGGGGAAUAUUGGACAAUGGGCGAAAGCCUGAUCCAGCCAUGCCGCGUGUGUGAAGAAGGUCUUCGGAUUGUAAAGCACUUUAAGUUGGGAGGAAGGGCAGUAAGUUAAUACCUUGCUGUUUUGACGUUACCAACAGAAUAAGCACCGGCUAACUUCGUG
RNAcentral lists this ribosomal RNA (484 nucleotides) under uncultured bacterium. RNAcentral's name for it is "partial 16S ribosomal RNA". It matches the Rfam family "Bacterial small subunit ribosomal RNA", at positions 30 to 507 of the family's 1533-position model. The record is from RNAcentral.